UGUGCUAAUACCGCAUAAUCUCUGAGGAGAAAAGCAGGGGAUCGCAAGACCUUGCGCUUUUGGAGCGGCCGAUGUCUGAUUAGCUUGUUGGUAAGGUAAAAGCUUACCAAGGCUUCGAUCAGUAGCUGGUCUGAGAGGACGACCAGCCACACUGGGACUGAGACACGGCCCAGACUCCUACGGGAGGCAGCAGUGGGGAAUUUUGGACAAUGGGGGCAACCCUGAUCCAGCCAUGCCGCGUGAGUGAAGAAGGCCUUCGGGUUGUAGAGCUCUUUCAGCCGGAACGAAACGGUUACGGUUAAUACCCGUGACUACUGACGGUACCGGAAGAAGAAGCACCGGCUAACUACGUGCCAGCAGCCGCGGUAAUACGUAGGGUGCGAGCGUUAAUCGGAAUUACUGGGCGUAAAGCGUGCGCAGGUGGUUUUGUAAGUCAGAUGUGAAAUCCCCGGGCUCAACCUGGGAACUGCGUUUGAAACUACAAGGCUAGAGUGUGGCAGAGGGGGGUGGAAUUCCGCGUGUAGCAGUGAAAUGCGUAGAGAUGUGGAGGAACACCGAUGGCGAAGGCAGCCCCCUGGGUCAACACUGACGCUCAGGCACGAAAGCAUGGGGAGCAAACAGGAUUAGAUACCCUGGUAGUCCAUGCCCUAAACGAUGUCAACUAGUUGUCGGGCCUUAACGGGCUUGGUAACGUAGCUAACGCGUGAAGUUGACCGCCUGGGGAGUACGAUCGCAAGAUUAAAACUCAAAGGAAUUGACGGGGACCCGCACAAGCGGUGGAUUAUGUGGAUUAAUUCGAUGCAACGCGAAAAACCUUACCUACCCUUGACAUGUAUCGAAGCCCGCAGAAAAGCGGGGGUGCCCGAAAGGGAACGAUAACACAGGUGCUGCAUGGCUGUCGUCAGCUCGUGUCGUGAGAUGUUGGGUUAAGUCCCGCAACGAGCGCAACCCUUGUCAUUAAUUGCCAUCAUUUAGUUGGGCACUUUAAUGAGACUGCCGGUGACAAGCCGGAGGAAGGUGGGGAUGACGUCAAGUCCUCAUGGCCCUUAUGGGUAGGGCUUCACACGUAA
RNAcentral lists this ribosomal RNA (1070 nucleotides) under uncultured Nitrosospira sp. RNAcentral describes it as "bacterial SSU rRNA". It matches the Rfam family "Bacterial small subunit ribosomal RNA", at positions 159 to 1225 of the family's 1533-position model. The record is from RNAcentral. Lineage: Bacteria; Pseudomonadati; Pseudomonadota; Betaproteobacteria; Nitrosomonadales; Nitrosomonadaceae.